GGCAAAGAUGAUUAAGUGCUUAAUAUUCUGACACCUCUUGUAUGAGAAUAGCGAAAGCUGUUCCUUGAGCACAUAAAGCUACACUCUGAGCC
Non-coding RNA from Helianthus annuus (common sunflower), 92 nucleotides. NCBI's taxonomy places the organism in Eukaryota, Viridiplantae, Streptophyta, Magnoliopsida, Asterales, Asteraceae. The record is from Rfam.